RNAcentral lists this ribosomal RNA (465 nucleotides) under Vreelandella stevensii. Its description in RNAcentral is "partial 16S ribosomal RNA". It matches the Rfam family "Bacterial small subunit ribosomal RNA", at positions 338 to 795 of the family's 1533-position model. Lineage: Bacteria; Pseudomonadati; Pseudomonadota; Gammaproteobacteria; Oceanospirillales; Halomonadaceae. The record is from RNAcentral.
CCUACGGGGAGCAGCAGUGGGGAAUAUUGGACAAUGGGGGCAACCCUGAUCCAGCCAUGCCGCGUGUGUGAAGAAGGCCCUCGGGUUGUAAAGCACUUUCAGUGAGGAAGAACGCCUGGUGGUUAAUACCCAUCAGGAAAGACAUCACUCACAGAAGAAGCACCGGCUAACUCCGUGCCAGCAGCCGCGGUAAUACGGAGGGUGCGAGCGUUAAUCGGAAUUACUGGGCGUAAAGCGCGCGUAGGUGGCUUGAUAAGCCGGUUGUGAAAGCCCCGGGCUCAACCUGGGAACGGCAUCCGGAACUGUCAAGCUAGAGUGCAGGAGAGGAAGGUAGAAUUCCCGGUGUAGCGGUGAAAUGCGUAGAGAUCGGGAGGAAUACCAGUGGCGAAGGCGGCCUUCUGGACUGACACUGACACUGAGGUGCGAAAGCGUGGGUAGCAAACAGGAUUAGAUACCCGUGUAGUC